GUGAGGAAUAUUGGUCAAUGGGCGAGAGCCUGAACCAGCCAAGUCGCGUGAAGGAUGACUGCCCUAUGGGUUGUAAACUUCUUUUAUAAGGGAAUAAAGUGCGGGACGUGUCCCGUUUUGUAUGUACCUUAUGAAUAAGCAUCGGCUAACUCCGUGCCAGCAGCCGCGGUAAUACGGAGGAUGCGAGCGUUAUCCGGAUUUAUUGGGUUUAAAGGGUGCGUAGGUGGGUAAUUAAGUCAGCGGUGAAAGUUUGUGGCUCAACCAUAAAAUUGCCGUUGAAACUGGUCACCUUGAGUAUGUUUGCUGUAGGCGGAAUGCGUGUUGUAGCGGUGAAAUGCAUAGAUAUCACGCAGAACUCCGAUUGCGAAGGCAGCUUACAAAACCAUCACUGACACUGAAGCACGAAAGCGUGGGAAUCAAACAGG
Molecule: ribosomal RNA, 425 nt
Filed under: uncultured bacterium
Lineage: Bacteria
Description: bacterial SSU rRNA
Rfam family: Bacterial small subunit ribosomal RNA
Source: RNAcentral